CGCGCAUCGAAUCAAGGGAAGCGUGCCGGUGCAGGCAAGAGACCACCGUAAGCGUCGUUGCAACCAAUUAAGCGCCGAUUCCAAUCAGCGCGACUUCGCACUCGCUGCCUAAGCGACUGUGAGUCUGUCAGCCCGGGAGUGCCCUCGGCCCGGACCCUGGCAUCAGCUAGAGGGACCCACCCACGGGUUCGGUCGCGGAAUCCGUGGGGACAUCAAACAGCGACUGGGAUCGUCAUCCUGACUUGUUCGCGUGAUCGGGAGAUCCGAGUAGAGGCAUAGCGAACUGCGCACGGAGAAGCCUCGAGGGAAUGCCGUAGGACCCGG
RNAcentral lists this unclassified non-coding RNA (324 nucleotides) under Mycolicibacterium gadium. Its description in RNAcentral is "partial ssrA". The record is from RNAcentral. Lineage: Bacteria; Bacillati; Actinomycetota; Actinomycetes; Mycobacteriales; Mycobacteriaceae.